AAUUAAUAUAUUUAUUGAGCUCUAUCUACACUAUGGACCGUAUAGCAGCACAGCUUUGCUGCUACAGCCGUUCCUCUGUAAGGUCUCCCGUGUAGCCACUCGUUGCCGGCAGGAGAGAGCUCUUCUGCCAGCAAAAUAAAACCACCCCCAGUGAGUGGCGGUAGCUUUGUCAGUGGGAGAGCGUCUCCCGCUGAC
This is a long non-coding RNA of Chelonia mydas (Green sea turtle), 195 nucleotides long. RefSeq lists it as uncharacterized. The transcript is spliced from 3 exons. The record is from RefSeq and is a predicted model, not a curated record. Lineage: Eukaryota; Metazoa; Chordata; Testudines; Cheloniidae.